GACGAACGCUGGCGGCGUGCCUAACACAUGCAAGUCGAACGGGGUAAUUUCUUCGGAGAUUACUUAGUGGCGAACGGGUGAGUAACGCGUGAGAAACCUGCCUUUCAGUGGGGGACAACAGUUGGAAACGACUGCUAAUACCGCAUAAUGUUAUUUGAGGGCAUCCUAAUGAUACCAAAGCUUUAUGUGCUGAAAGAUGGUCUCGCGUCUGAUUAGCUAGAUGGCGGGGUAACGGCCCACCAUGGCGACGAUCAGUAGCCGGUCUGAGAGGAUGAACGGCCACAUUGGGACUGAGAUACGGCCCAGACUCCUACGGGAGGCAGCAGUGGGGAAUAUUGGGCAAUGGGGGAAACCCUGACCCAGCAACGCCGCGUGAAGGAAGAAGGCCUUCGGGUUGUAAACUUCUUUUAGCAGGGACGAAGGACGUGACGGUACCUGCAGAAAAAGCAACGGCUAACUACGUG
This 464-nucleotide ribosomal RNA is filed under the name uncultured bacterium. Its description in RNAcentral is "bacterial SSU rRNA". It matches the Rfam family "Bacterial small subunit ribosomal RNA", at positions 28 to 507 of the family's 1533-position model. The record is from RNAcentral.